GGGUUCACCAGAUUAUGUCGGUUCUUCUACCAAUCAAAAUUCAUAAGUUCUAUAUUAAAAGCAUCAGUACCUUCAUCAAGGUACUUCUUUUCUAAAAAGAAUGCCAAACAACUCUUGUUCUUUAGCAUGAUAGAAGUUAUAUCCCCCUAGAUUCUUUGGUUAUCCUACAAAAUAAUAUAUGUAGGAUCGGGAUUCAAGCUAAUUGGUCGGUAAAUACUCGACAUAAAACAAACACUCCC
This 239-nucleotide long non-coding RNA is filed under the name Elaeis guineensis (African oil palm). RNAcentral describes it as "long non-coding RNA (EGUI_LNC036892)". The record is from RNAcentral. Lineage: Eukaryota; Viridiplantae; Streptophyta; Magnoliopsida; Arecales; Arecaceae.